UACGUAGGGCGCAAGCGUUGUCCGGAAUUAUUGGGCGUAAAGAGCUCGUAGGCGGUUACGCAAGUCGGGUGGGAAAUCUCCAGGCUCAACCUGGAGCCUUCGCUCGAUACUGCGUUGACUAGAGUCCGGUAGGGGAGUGUGGAAUUCCCGGUGUAGCGGUGAAAUGCGCAGAUAUCUGGAGGAACACCGGUGGCGAAGGCGGCAUUCUGGACCGACAUUGACGCUGAGGAGCGAAAGCCAGGGGAGCAAACGGG
Molecule: ribosomal RNA, 254 nt
Filed under: uncultured bacterium
Lineage: Bacteria
Description: partial 16S ribosomal RNA
Rfam family: Bacterial small subunit ribosomal RNA
Source: RNAcentral